This is a long non-coding RNA of Oreochromis aureus, 642 nucleotides long. RefSeq lists it as uncharacterized. The transcript is spliced from 3 exons. The record is from RefSeq and is a predicted model, not a curated record. Lineage: Eukaryota; Metazoa; Chordata; Actinopteri; Cichliformes; Cichlidae.
GUCAUAACUGUGGUGACCAACGCCCCUUCCUCUGCUCCAGAGAUGUCAAACCUUCAGCCUCGAGGUCAGUGAAGGUUCAGCUGAGGGCGGGAUCUGCAGACCUGAACGACCCCACAGUGCAAGAAUCCAUCCUGCAGCAGGUGAGGGAGAAGCUGGUGGAGCAAGGGAUCAGAGAGGAGGUGAAGCUGAGGUGGAGGACGCAGCCUGAUGGGAAGAUUUUCCACAGAGAGGAGGAGACAGCCGGUGACAGUGAGGAGGAAGACUGUGGGUCGGUUUAGUCUGAACGUUAUUGGCUGAUGUUCCUCAGAUGAUCUGUUGUGUAAUUCAACUUAUUUCCGUCUCUGUACUCUGACUGCUGGACUGUAGCAGCGUAGCUUUGCAUGACUGACAGUUGGAAAUAAUCCUUCUUUAUCCUAAGCUCAGAUCACAGAGUGUCUGAUGAGCUGUUUUAUGCCUCUUUGUUUCUUCUGUGUCUCAGAUAUAAAUGUUCAUGAUAUCCUGUCUCUACAUAUGAAAGUUCAAGCGGAGAACAAAGUGAACCUGAGUGUUCAGAGCAGCCUGAUGUCUGAGCUUUUUGACUUCAUACAUCAUAUUUCAAAUGAGCACCCAGCAAUAUAACAGUAGAUAUGCCGUAUAUGUCAG